GGGCCCGUAGCUCAGUUGGUUAGAGCAAACGACUCAUAAUCGUUGGGUCGAAGGUUCAAGUCCUUCCGGGCCCA
This is a non-coding RNA of Elusimicrobia bacterium GWC2_61_19, 74 nucleotides long. Lineage: Bacteria; Pseudomonadati; Elusimicrobiota. The record is from Rfam.